Non-coding RNA from Ceratotherium simum simum (southern white rhinoceros), 81 nucleotides. Lineage: Eukaryota; Metazoa; Chordata; Mammalia; Perissodactyla; Rhinocerotidae. The record is from RefSeq and is a predicted model, not a curated record.
CUUGGCACAAGUAAAACUCACCUGAUCUCUCUUAUCUAUAGAAUGGUUAUUGGUUAUUUGUGUGACAGGGCUUAAACAUAA